Molecule: ribosomal RNA, 274 nt
Filed under: uncultured bacterium
Lineage: Bacteria
Description: partial 16S ribosomal RNA
Rfam family: Bacterial small subunit ribosomal RNA
Source: RNAcentral
AUACGAGGGGUGCAAGCGUUAAUCGGAAUUACUGGGCGUAAAGCGUUCGUAGGCGGUUUGUUAAGCAAGAUGUGAAAGCCCUGGGCUCAACCUGGGAACUGCAUUUUGAACGGGCAAGCUAGAAUACUGUAGAGGGUGGUGGAAUUUCCAGUGUAGCGGUGAAAUGCGUAGAGAUUGGAAGGAACAUCAGUGGCGAAGGCGGCCACCUGGACAGAUAUUGACGCUGAGGAACGAAAGCGUGGGGAGCGAACAGGAUUAGAAACCCGAGUAGUCC